Xenopus tropicalis (tropical clawed frog) is the source of this 195-nucleotide long non-coding RNA. RefSeq lists it as uncharacterized. The transcript is spliced from 2 exons. The record is from RefSeq and is a predicted model, not a curated record. NCBI's taxonomy places the organism in Eukaryota, Metazoa, Chordata, Amphibia, Anura, Pipidae.
GCUCCUCACGCACCCUUUCAUUGCCGAGCUCCGGGGUGAAAGGGGGGUGCAGAGGAAUAUCGCCCAACACCUGCACAGAGGAACGAGGCACUGAAACGAAAACAACGAGGCAGCCAUCGGGGAGGGUCGGGGCCAUAAAUAGGGGGCCUAAUUACCAUCCUUGGCCGCCCACAAACAUCUUUAACAUCGUGGUCC